UACGUAGGUGGCAAGCGUUGUCCGGAUUUACUGGGUGUAAAGGGCGUGUAGCCGGGUUGACAAGUCAGAUGUGAAAGCCCCCGGCUUAACCGAGGAAUUGCAUCGGAAACUGUGUUUCUUGAGUGCAGAAGAGGAGAGUGGAACUCCAUGUGUAGCGGUGGAAUGCGUAGAUAUAUGGAAGAACACCAGUGGCGAAGGCGGCUCUCUGGUCUGUAACUGACGCUGAGGCUCGAAAGCAUGGGUAGCGAACAGG
RNAcentral lists this ribosomal RNA (253 nucleotides) under uncultured Lactobacillus sp. RNAcentral describes it as "partial 16S ribosomal RNA". It matches the Rfam family "Bacterial small subunit ribosomal RNA", at positions 524 to 776 of the family's 1533-position model. The record is from RNAcentral. Lineage: Bacteria; Bacillati; Bacillota; Bacilli; Lactobacillales; Lactobacillaceae.